UGAGCCCCGCACCUGUAGCUCCGCGCGUCGCUGGGAAAUCGUCCUCCAGGCUGCUGGCACCUGGGCAGCCGGGGAGCUCUGGGGGAAGGGACAGCUUCUCCCCGCGUCUGCCGCCUCCUGGCUGCUUCCUGAGCCCCCCUGCGAGAGAAUAGAAAAUAAGCAUCCGGAUGCUGGAAUCUCAGGCUGUGUCCAUCGCUGCUCCCAAAGGGGUAAAUACACUCAGCGGAAUGCAUGGCUGCCUUCUGCAUGCAGGAUGGGAGGCGGACGGAGCUUGCCCACCUCAGCACUUAAAAAGCACACUCUUUGCCGCUUCCAUCCAGAAAUAAAAAGAUCGAGUUCUCCGAUGACGACCAUCUUCCUGGGUCCCAGCUGCCUUAUCCAUCUUCACUUCCCCAAGAGUAACCCCUUUUGCUCCCGGUGCAUGGAGCCUGCUUCUCCCUCUGCCUGUGUCUCUGCCUCUCUCUCUCUCUCUCUCUCUCUCU
Long non-coding RNA from Nyctereutes procyonoides (raccoon dog), 482 nucleotides. RefSeq lists it as uncharacterized. The record is from RefSeq and is a predicted model, not a curated record. The transcript is spliced from 4 exons. NCBI's taxonomy places the organism in Eukaryota, Metazoa, Chordata, Mammalia, Carnivora, Canidae.